RNAcentral lists this ribosomal RNA (84 nucleotides) under uncultured bacterium. RNAcentral's name for it is "partial 16S ribosomal RNA". The record is from RNAcentral.
UCACGAAAGUGGAUUGUACUAGAAGUCUGCGCGCUGACCCGCAAGGGGGGCAGCGGCCCAAGGUAUGAGUUCAUGAUUGGGGUG